This 427-nucleotide ribosomal RNA is filed under the name uncultured bacterium. RNAcentral's name for it is "partial 16S ribosomal RNA". It matches the Rfam family "Bacterial small subunit ribosomal RNA", at positions 355 to 774 of the family's 1533-position model. The record is from RNAcentral.
UGGGGAAUAUUGCACAAUGGGCGCAAGCCUGAUGCAGCCAUGCCGCGUGUAUGAAGAAGGCCUUCGGGUUGUAAAGUACUUUCAGCGAGGAGGAAGGCGUUGUGGUUAAUAACCGCAACGAUUGACGUUACUCGCAGAAGAAGCACCGGCUAACUCCGUGCCAGCAGCCGCGGUAAUACGGAGGGUGCAAGCGUUAAUCGGACUUACUGGGCGUAAAGCGCACGCAGGCGGUCUGUCAAGUCGGAUGUGAAAUCCCCGGGCUCAACCUGGGAACUGCAUCCGAAACUGGCAGGCUAGAGUCGUGUAGAGGGGGGGAGAAUUCCAGGGGUAGCGGUGAAAUGCGUAGAGAUCUGGAGGAAUACCGGUGGCGAAGGCGGCCCCCUGGACAAAGACUGACGCUCAGGUGCGAAAGCGUGGGGAGCAAACA